AAAAAGUUAAAUUGGAAUAUAACUCUUUGACUCUCAGGAUGAAUCAGAACUUUCUAUUAACUAGAAAGCUGAUAUAGUACUAUAGUUUCUGAUUACCCUCUCACACAUUCAUUUCGAGACUUGCCCAAUAUCUUUCCUCUUUUCAUUCCCUAUGGUUCAGUCAUAAAGGAGAAGUCUCUCUCUUUCACUCUUUCUCUAACUUUCAUUCUUCCACUCUCCUUUGCUGUGUCUCCAUCUGCCUCCAUUUCUCUGUCUCAGUCACUUCUCUAUACACCUUCCUUCCUUCCUUCCUCUCUCCCUUCCUUCCUCCUUCCCUCCCUCCCUCCCUUCCUUCCUCCUUUCCUUCCUUCAUUCUUUCCUUCCUCCAUCUCUCCCUCCUUUUCUUCCUCUCUCCCUCCCUUUCUCCUUCCCUCCCUCUCUUCCUUCCUUCCCUCCUUCCUUCCUUCCCUCCCUCCUUCCUUCCUUCCUUCCUUCUUUCCUUCCUUCCUUCCUUCCUUCCUUCCUUCUUUCCUUCCUUCCUUCCUUCCUUUUCUUCCUUUUUUCCUUCUUUCCUUCCUUCCUUCUUUCCUUCCUUCCUUCCUUCCUUCCUUCCUUCCUUCCUUCCUUCCUUCCUUUCUUCUUUCCUUCCUUCCUUCCAUUCUUUCUUUCAUCAUCACUGAUGCAUCUCUUUCCCCCUCCACCAAACACACUUUAUUCUCUCACCUUGAUAUCCUUUUUUUUUUAUUUCCUUCCUUUUCUCAGUCUCCUAGGAUUUCUUUAACUUCCUGUAGAAGUAGCUAUAGGAUGAGAGGAAGCCAGAACUUCUGUUCUCAGAUAGGAAUAUCUUCUUCUAUAUCUACCUUGUAUUUAUUAUUUAUUUAUUCAAUACGUACUGGCAUAUACUCUCAUUAAAAUGUAAGUUCACUGAAGGAAAUCAUUCUUUCAUUUCUACUUCUAACACAGUAUUGGCCAUUUGUGUAAUGUUUUUACAUCCAUUUAGUUGAUUGCAUUUCCUCUUCCUCAUGAGAAUGUAAGCUCCUGUUGCAUAGGGCAUAGAUUAUUUGUUUAUUAUUUUUGUCUUUAUCUGCAUCCCCAUCAAUUAGAACAGUGUCUGGCUCAUCAUCAUCACUUAAUAGAUAACCACAGAAGGCUAUUGUUAUAAUCAAAUGAGAUCUUGUAUUAAAUAGCAUUUUGGUUGUUUCUUUUUUACUUGUUUAUUUUUCAGUUUACUAAGUGUAUCAAUAUUGAUUGAUUUUGUCGGGUUUUAUUGUACCAAUAUUUUCACCAGUCUCAGAAACUCCCACAUUUGGAAAUUUCCUCUUUUAGUGAAGAUCUAUAACUGGGUUGGAAUGUAUAUUCUUUUAGAGGUGUCCUAUGCACUGAAAAGAUAUGCCAGUGACAUUCAUGGUGAUAUGGUAAUGAUCAAAAAGAAAGGCUCAAAAUCAUGUUUCACCAACUUCAAAAUGAACAUUCUAUCCGCCAAAAAUCAUGCUUCCAUCCAUGAUCUAUUAGUAAAUUGUUAAUUAUAUGCAUAAGAAGACUCCCCUUAUUAUUAGUGUAGUGGUAUCAGAUGAAUAAUCCAUUAUUCUGGAGGUCUGGGCUAGGAAGUAGUGAAAUAAACCUACUUACUUCCUGUUCAAAUUUGAAAUAAAUUCAAAUUUCUUCAGACAACAAUUUUCCCCCUUUCCAUUACUUUUCAUUUUCUGCCCUUCCUAGCUCCAGCUGGUACCAAACAUGUGGCAGUGCCAAAGAUCUCAAAAAAAAAUCUGCUGUUGAAUGAUUUCUGCCUGGACCACAAGCAGAUGUCUUGGAAUCUUUCCAAAU
Molecule: long non-coding RNA, 1803 nt
Organism: Sarcophilus harrisii (Tasmanian devil)
Lineage: Eukaryota; Metazoa; Chordata; Mammalia; Dasyuromorphia; Dasyuridae
Source: Ensembl